UUAGUGGCGAACGGGUGAGUAACGCGUGAGUAACCUGCCCUGGAGUGGGGGACAACAGUUGGAAACGACUGCUAAUACCGCAUAAGCCCACGGAUCCGCAUGGAUCUGCGGGAAAAGGAUUUAUUCGCUUCAGGAUGGACUCGCGUCCAAUUAGCUAGUUGGUGAGGUAACGGCCCACCAAGGCAACGAUCAGUAGCCGGCCUGAGAGGGUGAACGGCCACAUUGGGACUGAGACACGGCCCAAACUCCUACGGGAGGCAGCAUG
Molecule: ribosomal RNA, 265 nt
Filed under: uncultured bacterium
Lineage: Bacteria
Description: partial 16S ribosomal RNA
Rfam family: Bacterial small subunit ribosomal RNA
Source: RNAcentral